CAUUGCAUUACUGGGCAAGUCUUGCUUUGGCAGUUGGCAACUCGUAAAUAUCAUACAGAAAUUAAUUUAAGAGUAAGCUCACUGCCAAAGAAGAUUUGCCCCGCAAUUCAUGC
RNAcentral lists this microRNA precursor (113 nucleotides) under Manihot esculenta (cassava). RNAcentral describes it as "mir-399 microRNA precursor family". It matches the Rfam family "mir-399 microRNA precursor family". Rfam says of the family: mir-399 was identified in both Arabidopsis thaliana and Oryza sativa computationally and was later experimentally verified. mir-399 is thought to target mRNAs coding for a phosphatase transporter. The mature sequence is excised from the 3' arm of the hairpin. The record is from Rfam by way of RNAcentral. Lineage: Eukaryota; Viridiplantae; Streptophyta; Magnoliopsida; Malpighiales; Euphorbiaceae.